This 131-nucleotide small nuclear RNA is filed under the name Marchantia polymorpha subsp. ruderalis. RNAcentral describes it as "U4 spliceosomal RNA". It matches the Rfam family "U4 spliceosomal RNA". From Rfam's summary of the family: U4 small nuclear RNA (U4 snRNA) is a component of the major U2-dependent spliceosome. The structure of U4 snRNA from yeast and human has been reported. U4 snRNA presents a k-turn RNA motif in the 5p-SL related to recognition of Snu13 protein. The record is from Rfam by way of RNAcentral. Lineage: Eukaryota; Viridiplantae; Streptophyta; Marchantiopsida; Marchantiales; Marchantiaceae.
UAGUUUGCGCUUGGGGCGGUGACACGGUUAGUAAGGUGAAACCGAGACGUGUCAAUUGCUGGUUGAAAACUAUUGCUGGUUUUAGCCCUUGUUCCUAGUUUGCGCUGGUUUUUUAACAUUUAAUUUGAUAA